GACGAACGCUGGCGGCGUGCCUAAUACAUGCAAGUUGAGCGCUUAAUGGUGGUACUUGUACCAACUGGCUGAGCAGCGAACGGGUGAGUAACGCGUGGGGAAUCUGCCUUUGAGCGGGGGACAACAUGGGGAAACGAAUGCUAAUACCGCAUAAAAACUUUAAACACAAGUUUUAAGUUUGAAAGAUGCAAUUGCAUCACUCAAAGAUGAUCCCGCGUUGUAUUAGCUAGUUGGUGGGGUAAGGGCCCACCAAGGCGUGGUAACGUAGCCGACCUGAGAGGUGGAACGCCCAAACGGGAAUGGAGCACGGCCCAAGAUCCUGACGGGAGGAGCAGGAGGGGAACAUCGGGCAAGGGCGGAAGUCUGGACGGGCAAAGGCGCGGGGGGGGAGAAGGGUUUCGGAUCGUAAAACUCCGUUGGUAGAGAAGAACGUUGGUGAGAGUGGAAAGCUCAUCAAGUGACGGUAACUACACAGAAAGGCACGGCUAACUACGUG
Molecule: ribosomal RNA, 496 nt
Filed under: uncultured bacterium
Lineage: Bacteria
Description: partial 16S ribosomal RNA
Rfam family: Bacterial small subunit ribosomal RNA
Source: RNAcentral